Molecule: long non-coding RNA, 646 nt
Organism: Coffea eugenioides
Lineage: Eukaryota; Viridiplantae; Streptophyta; Magnoliopsida; Gentianales; Rubiaceae
Exons: 3
Source: RefSeq, a predicted model, not a curated record
AUCCGCAGCUUCCCGCACUGCUCUGCCGCCCUUCGGAGCAGCGCCGCCGGUGAUUCGGACUCGGCGGAGAGCUUGGAGAAGCUUGGAAGAAAGUGAUCUGUCGGAGUUAUUUGCUGCCGGAUUGGACACCGCCGUUGACGCCAUCGAGAGCCGCUGGAGAGAGAGAGAGAGGGACAAGAGUUUUUUGUUUUUUUGGGCUGUGUGGUGGUGGAGAGGGAAUCACGGGAAAGGAAAGCAGCAAAGAGAGCAUGCGUCUGCUAUUUGUGAAUUGAGUCGAGUUGUGGUUUGGGAAGGUUUCUUUUAAAUGUGCAGUGCAGUGCAGAGUCCAUGUGUGUGGGUUGUGCUGCCCAUCAGCAUAUGCAGAUAUUGGCAGGGCGAGCUGGGGAGUCUUAUUCUUAAUUUCUGGCCCCCACCCAACAAUUUAAAAAUAGAAGUGCAGCAUCUGUUGUUUUAGUUACGAAUUAAUCCUCCGUAUGGUUGGUAGGAGUGUAUGCAUUAUUACUGUGUUUGGACGCCUAACAAUUAAUUCGAAUCUGAAUUUAAAAUCCAAAUAUUGCAGACGCUGAUAGGAUUAAAAUCCAUCUUGAGUCGGCCUGUUUGAAUUGUUAUUUUCUAGAGUUCCUAUCUAUAUAAAUGUGUUUAUGAA